UGUAACAGAGUCUGGGAAGCGCUUAGCUUUCGAGUGCUGCCUCCUGAUUGGACUAGGGAAUGCUGCUGUUCGGGAAUAAUGUGUGAAUACCAUCUGCUCCGAGGAGCUGGGAGUCUCAGUGAAUUUUGCUUGGAGAGGCACCUUUAGCCAGGACUACAGGCGAGGGGAGCAAGCUUGCUUUUCCUGUUUCAUAUCCAAACUUUUAGUUGUUGCUGGAUUUCCUUUCUGUUUCCCUGUUAAACUUUUUUGCACUUUGCUCAAGGGCUGAGGUGCUUUCCUGUGGGUUUUGGGGUUGUUUUUCCUUUAUUUUUUUCCUGCAUGGGAUUUCUUCUGGGGUUCAGCAUGCACACCAAAUGGGGAAAUAAAUCAGCAAGUUUUGCAGCUGUUUAUUGCAGCACAACAGUUAACAUGGAAUGUCUGAGUUGCUUUGAGAAACUACUUCCAAAAAUUUGACCUGCUCGUAAAAAGACUGUUAUCUCAGACGAAACACAGCUAUUUUUCAGCAGUCCGGCUUUGCAGUCAAAUGGUGCAUUCCACUUCAAGAAGACAAGAUGUAGUUUGUGAGCCCAUUAAAUCCUGCUCACUAAUGACCUGCUGGUGUAGACUCAGUCACUAGAGAGAAAACUGUAGCCAUUCCUUUAACCUCAAAACAACAGGCCUGACACCAACACGAUUGAUGGCCACCACUCUCUCCCAUUACUGUUAGCACAUACUUAACUUUUUGAUGUUACUGUUUUAAAACAUAGUUAUAAUUUUUUUUUCUCUGAAGGUUACAUUUUAAUCAGACACUUCUAUCUACACAAGGCAAAGUUAGCUAAGGGAGGGCAUGAAAUAUUGAUGUUUUACAAAAUCUUAGCCUUCCUUCCAGUGAGUCAGAUUAUUCAAUUUACUGUUGUCUGUUCCAAGGAGAAAUCUGCAAAGGCUAUUUCUAAGACUUUGUUUGCUGAAGGCUUCACUGUAAUUUGUUUUUGACAAACACCUGUUUUUUAGCUUUCUCUUUUGUGUUGGUAUGUUAAUUGUAACUGUAUAGUGUGUAAGUUGCAUGUACUUAUAUGUAUUCUAAGAGAAAUGUUUAGUACCUGUAAAUAAGGGAACAGUGGAUUUAUGUAAGUGAUACUUGAUCUAACCUAAACUUUUCGUAUUGAAUCAAUUUUAAAUAAACAAGAGAAGAUCUUA
Long non-coding RNA from Aquila chrysaetos chrysaetos, 1176 nucleotides. RefSeq lists it as uncharacterized. The record is from RefSeq and is a predicted model, not a curated record. NCBI's taxonomy places the organism in Eukaryota, Metazoa, Chordata, Aves, Accipitriformes, Accipitridae. The transcript has 2 exons.